GAUGAACGCUGGCGGCGUGCCUAAUACAUGCAAGUCGAGCGAACGGACGAGAAGCUUGCUUCCCUGAUGUUAGCGGCGGACGGGUGAGUAACACGUGGAUAACCUACCUAUAAGACUGGGAUAACUUCGGGAAACCGGAGCUAAUACCGGAUGAUAUUUUGAACCGCAUGGUUCAAAAGUGAAAGACGGUCUUGCUGUCACUUGUAGAUGGAUCCGCGCUGCAUUAGCUAGUUGGUAAGGUAACGGCUUACCAAGGCAACGAUGCAUAGCCGACCUGAGAGGGUGAUCGGCCACACUGGAACUGAGACACGGUCCAGACUCCUACGGGAGGCAGCAGUAGGGAAUCUUCCGCAAUGGGCGAAAGCCUGACGGAGCAACGCCGCGUGAGUGAUGAAGGUCUUCGGAUCGUAAAACUCUGUUAUUAGGGAAGAACAUAUGUGUAAGUAACUGUGCACAUCUUGACGGUACCUAAUCAGAAAGCCACGGCUAACUACGUG
This 497-nucleotide ribosomal RNA is filed under the name uncultured bacterium. RNAcentral describes it as "partial 16S ribosomal RNA". It matches the Rfam family "Bacterial small subunit ribosomal RNA", at positions 28 to 507 of the family's 1533-position model. The record is from RNAcentral.